This 1416-nucleotide ribosomal RNA is filed under the name metagenome. RNAcentral's name for it is "bacterial SSU rRNA". It matches the Rfam family "Archaeal small subunit ribosomal RNA". The record is from RNAcentral.
UCCGGUUGAUCCCGCCGGAGGUCACUGCUAUCUGAAUCCGACUAAGCCAUGCUAGUUCCGUUUCUCGGAGCGAAAAGCUCAGUAACACGUAGUUAACCUGCCCUAUGGUCUGUUAUAAUCCCGCGAAAGUGGGGCUAACGACAGAUAGGUGAGUUUUCCUGGAAUGGUAUCUCACUGAACAUAGGAUGGGACUGCGGCAGAUUAGCUUGUUGUUUGGGUAAUGUCCAGGCAAGGCGAUAAUCUGUACGGGCCUUGAGAGAGGAAGCCCGGAGACUCAUUCUGAGACAAGAAUGAGGGUCCUGCGGGGUGCAGCAGGCGCGAAAAUUCCGCAAUGCACGCAAGUGUGACGGAGGGAUUCAGAGUGCUUCCCGUCAUGCGGGGAGCUUUUCUAUAGUCCAAAUCGCUGUAGGAAUAAGAGAUGGGUAAGACAGGUGCCAACCGCCGCGGUAAUACCUGCGUCUCGAGUGGUGAUCACGUUUAUUGGGCUUAAAGCGUUCGUAGCUGGUUCGGAAAGUUCUUAAUGAAAUCCCAUGGUUGACUAUGGGGCUUGUUAAGGAUACUGCUGGACUUGGGACCGGGAGAGGUCUGGGGUAUUGUUGGGGUAGGGGUUAAAUCCUAUAAUCCUUACAAGACCACCUGUGGCGAAGGCGCCAGACUGGAACGGAUCCGACAGUGAGGGACGAAAGCUAGGGGAGCGAAGGGGAUUAGAUACCCCCGUAGUCCUAGCCGUAAACGAUGCCCGUUAGACAUUGGAGUUCUUACGGGGGACUUCAGAGUCGUAGGGAAACCGUUAAACGGGCCGCCUGGGGAGUACGUUCGCAAGGAUGAAACUUAAGGGAAUUGGCGGGGGAGCACACAAGGGGUGGAGGCUGCGGUUUAAUUCGAUUCAACGCGAGGAACCUCACCAGAAGCGACAGCAGAAUGAAGGUCAGGCUGAUGGUCUUACCAGACAAGCUGAGCGGUGGUGCAUGGCCGUCGUCAGUUCGUGGCGUGAGCUGUCGACUUAAGUGUCGUAACGAACAAGACCCGCGCCCUAUAUUGCUACCAGGUUCUUUGAGCCUGGGCACUUAUAGGGGACCGCUGGCGAAGAGCCAGAGGAAGGGGCGGUCGACGGCGGGUCUGUAUGCUCUAAAUCUUCUGGGCAACACGCGGCCUACAAUGGUCGGGACAAUGGGACGCGACUCCGAAAGGAGGAGCUAAUCUCGAAACCCGAUCCAAGUCCGGAUCGAGGGCUGCAACUCGCCCUCGUGAAGCCGAAAUCCCUAGUAGUCGCUGGUCAUCAUCCAGCGGCGAAUACGUUCCUGCUCCUUGCACACACUGCCCGUCAAGCCAACCGAGUGGAUCUUUGGUGAGGCUCUGUCAUUUUGUCAGUGUCGAACCACGGGUUUGCAAGGUGGGCUAAGUCGUAACAAGGUA